Molecule: transfer RNA, 74 nt
Filed under: Vibrio virus vB_VspP_SBP1
Lineage: Duplodnaviria; Heunggongvirae; Uroviricota; Caudoviricetes; Schitoviridae
Rfam family: tRNA
About the family: Transfer RNA (tRNA) molecules are approximately 80 nucleotides in length. Their secondary structure includes four short double-helical elements and three loops (D, anti-codon, and T loops).
Source: Rfam by way of RNAcentral
AGGGGUGUAGCCAAGUGGCCUAAGGCACGGGUCUUUGAUACCUGCAUUCGGAAGUUCGAAUCUUCCCACCCCUA